CCCUAUGGGGUGCACCAACACAACUUUAACACCAAGCUCACGAAUCUUUGCCGCCAUUUCCGAGGUUACCCGGGUUUCGGUUGAAUAAAUGACCUGGCCUGUUUCCGGGUCGGUGAUAUCCUGGCGCAGUAAGUGAUCCACCAGAUUCGGGUCAUCGCCAUUCAUAGAGCGGUAAACCUUCCGGUAAGGUGUUUCAAUAAACCCGUAUUCGUUGACGGUAGCAUAAGCUGCCAGCCGGCCAAUCAAGCCAAUAUUUGGACCUUCAGGAGUCUCAAUUGGGCAGAUGCGGCCAUAAUGCGAGAAGUGCACAUCCCGGACGUCAAAGCCUGCCCGUUCGCGGCGUAAACCGCCAGGACCAAGAGCUGAAACGGUCCGCUUGUGACGCAGUUCGCUCAAAGGAUUGGUCUCUUCCAUGAAUUGGGAGAGC
This 427-nucleotide ribosomal RNA is filed under the name uncultured prokaryote. RNAcentral's name for it is "partial 16S ribosomal RNA". The record is from RNAcentral.